UCUGGCCUGCCCAAUGAGAAUUUUUAAAUGGCCGCAGUAUAUUGACUGUGCAAAGGUAGCAUAAUCAUUAGUUUUUUGAUUGAGAACUGGAAUGAAAGGUUUGAUGAGAAAAUAUCUGUCUCUAAAAAAAUUUAUUAGAAUUUUAUUUUUAAGUUAAAAAGCUUAAAUAUGUAUAGAAGACGAGAAGACCCUAUAGAGUUUUAUAUUUGUAGUAAAUUAAAUUUUUUGGGUAAAUGAUUUUUUAAUUUUUUAUGAAUAUUUUGUUGGGGUGAUAGAAAAAUUAAAUAAACUUUUUUUUGUCUAAAAACAUUAAUUUAUGAUUUAAUGAUCCUAUAAUUUAGAUUAUAAGAAAAAAUUACCUUAGGGAUAACAGCGUAAUUUUUUCUAGAGUUCUUAUCGAAAGAAAAGAUUGCGACCUCGAUGUUGGAUUAAAAUAAAUUUUUGGUGAAGAAGCUAGAAAAUUAGGUCUGUUCGACCUUUGAAAUUUUACAUGAUCUGAGUUUAAACCGGUGUGAGCCAGGUCGGUU
This 527-nucleotide ribosomal RNA is filed under the name Trigonopterus sp. 240 AR-2020. Its description in RNAcentral is "partial large subunit ribosomal RNA". It matches the Rfam family "Bacterial large subunit ribosomal RNA", at positions 1853 to 2636 of the family's 2925-position model. The record is from RNAcentral. Lineage: Eukaryota; Metazoa; Arthropoda; Insecta; Coleoptera; Curculionidae.